AUGUCUGGGAUUUCAUUAGAAGCUGAAAUAGCAGCUAGAAUUAGAGCUGAACAAAUUGCCGAGGCUGCAACGGAGGCUGCAAAAGGUGCUACUAAGGCUGCAAAAGCUACUGGUAAUAGUGUACAGAGGAUAGAGAGGGAGAUGAAUGUUCGGAUGAAACUUAGGAUGAAGAAAGUUUUGGCUCAACUAGCGGAUCACAUCUUCAUCAUUAUGAUGAAGAUUUGGACAAUCUGUCAUUAG
Molecule: non-coding RNA, 240 nt
Organism: Vicia faba (fava bean)
Lineage: Eukaryota; Viridiplantae; Streptophyta; Magnoliopsida; Fabales; Fabaceae
Source: the annotation of a GenBank genome assembly